ACAUGUAAGUCUUCCCAUCAACAAUAAUAAUAUGAAGCCCUUUCUAAAUGUGCUCUGGUGGUGCAUUAACUUCAUGUACCAUCACGCCCCGAACCAACAGGGUGCAUGUGAAUGGAGGGGUUGUACAAGGACCGGCUUGUGUGAGGGUUACUUUUCUGCCAAUCCUAUCUCUGACGUCCCCGGCAGGUUGAUGUGAUGGAAUAAGGCCUUCGUAAGGUGAAGCGUCUCCAACAUCACGCCGUCGGCUAUCGGGGGCAAUGAGACGCUUCACUGGACCUCUGAAGUUCUACUGGACCCCUUUUUAUUCAACAUGUUACUCACAAGAGAUGCUUUACAGCGCCUCCAUGUCUGUUUGCUCUCCCACAGACAGGGAAGGUGGAGGUUCUGACUCACUAUUAUCCAUUCGGUUUUUCUAAAAUACAGCUGUAAGAUCUGGAUUUUUCACCACUGUAUUUAAUCAAAAGUUGUACCUCACACAUCCAACAGUGCGGUUUUAGUUGGGCGGCUAGUUUUCUGGCACAUAAAUAAUUGCUGCAGUAAAAAUCCCCAGAGCAAUAUAGCUUAAUAAUGGCGGUACGAGGAUUCACUCGUGGGUCGACGGUGGCGCACGGAGUAGAGAGGGUUUGGCGGGAACCACAAGGUUGCGGUUUGAGCCCUGGCUGCUCCAUGUCCCAUGUUGAAGUGUCCCUGAGCAAGACACCCAACCCCUAAUUGCUCCUUGGGCAAAAAUAAUAAUAAUUAAUAGCAAAUCAGCAUUACUGUCCAGUUUGACCUGAACUCUCCAUCUGAUUGUGUUUAUUGUUGUUAAUAACCUGAAUGUAUAUGCGCACCAUAAAGCCUCGGCUGCAAUAAGAAAGAAGGAGAGAUGGUCGAAAGAUCAGACGAUUCAGAAAAGGGCUUGAAUGGGGGCAUCGGCCAACCAGAGCCGGACGUAGACAUAAAAAUAAAUCCACAUUUUGACCGACCCGUGCGUCUGCCGCGAGGCCUUCAGAAAGGCCUCCUCUAGAGUAGUUCCUCUUGAAUCCAUCAAGGUGAAGCUCAACAUGUGUCCUCUCCACACUCUCUGUGCUGUCAUGUAGAUGUUGGUUCAAUCGUGUAUUUUCAGGAUAUUGAUAUUUUAUGAGGCAAUUUACACUUUAUCCUCCAGAAAAGAAAUUGUCCAAAUAGUCAAAGCAGUUCCAGAGUGAUUAUACUUUUUAUCAUGGCUAAGCCAAAAUAUCAUCCGAAAUUACAGCUAAACCUAGCCAGCUAGUGCUAAUGACAGCUAGUGACUUAGCAUUUGCUGUGCCAAACGCAUUACCCCGGCUGGCCCCGCUUUUACCCAGCAGAUCAGUGGAUCAGUCAACCACCAGAGGACAAUGAGUACACAUGGAGGCCGGGAGUGGCGGUCCGAUGGGCCGUGUCCCUCAGUUAAGCUCUCAUUCCACACGAGGGCAGAACGUGAUGCCGUCAUACUCCACUUUCCCCAUCUCUAGGAAUAUCUGAAAAUUGAGCGUGGGAUAGAAAGUCAAGCACGGCCAUCAGCAUCACAGAACCAACACACACGUUUAUCAAAACCUAGGAGGCAAAAAAAGAUGAAAAUAGGUAACUUACUUGUAUAAUAGACUACAUUUAAUUUAGCCUAGAACAGAACCUGAUGAAGCAGUCGAUCAAUGCUUGUUGUAUGAAUUUGUGAUGGUCACCUGCUCACUGAGCUCUCUGGUACCUUCUGAUGCUGUUCAUGCCCGACAUCUCUCCUCCAAUAACAGAGGAGCCUUCCAUCUCCGGCUGCCAAACAUCAGCUGGCUUUCUAAUUCAUCAUUAUUUCCAUUUCCUAUAAGAAAACGCGGUAUGUUUUUUUCCAGUUGUUAUAAAAGGAGUGCGAUGUGGCCUCUGUGUUUAUGCUUGAUCAUCCUUAAUGCCACCACCGAUGCUAAUGGAAACAGCAGCGCAACAUUCACUUUACUCACAGCUGCCACUUAAUGUGCUCUGCUUUCUUUUGCGUUAAUCUUCCUUUCACUUUCUCAGCACAAGUUUCCUGCCUGAAAUCUACCCGGUUGUAUGAUGGAUAUUUCCUCAAUAGCAGCUUUGGAAGAUGCCCCUGCUGGGCUCCGCCCUCUGCCCGCCUGCUUUGAUGGAUUACGUCGACUGCUAUUUCCGUCUUGUUUGUCAGAGACGAGACAAAAAGAUUGCACCGUCUCACUGGAGGCGUUAGGAGUCAAACCGCCGCACAGAGAGAGAAAGUUGGGGGCGGGACUUUAAACACCAAACCACACUGCAGGUGGCAGCCACAAACCUGGAUAUUAUUCAUAACUAUCAAAGGGAAGAGGCAGCUCAUGCCACAUCACCACAUUACAUUAGAAAUUAACUGUUUGGUCAAUUUCAAGAUAACAACUAAGUAAAAAAGGUCAAAUCAAAAUCACUUGUCAGCAGCUAAAAGCCUCCGUUCUUACGUAACUUGCGUAUUCAUAUUCAUGUCUAGUUUGGCCCCAUUUCCUUCAGGCACGGAGACUGAUGGCGACAGCUCUCGGUUUCAUCAAUAAAGGACUCAACGUAAACUUUAUCAAGCGGACGCUUGAAGAAGGGUCAGUGUAAAAGCUUAAUAGAUUCCAUUUGAAGGGGAAAGCUCUCUCCUCCAUUGUCACCGCCAGCCUUUUCGUCUGUCAGCCUUCCAUGUGGGCCGUUGAGGAGGUCAUCCAUCUGGACUGCAGCGUUGUCAUCGGCUUUGUUCGCUCGACACCUCUGAACUGAAUGAUCCAGCCACAGGGGCGUCGUUUGUGGUUCUCGUUCUCACUUUUCUACGGUCUCAACUCUGCAACACAUUGCGCACGUUGCAGUCUACGUCGUUAUCGUCCUCUCCUGCAAACCAACACUUCCAUUUGCUCAGUCCGAAGCAAAGCCACACCGGUUAGCGUCUUAUGUUAUCUGUGGAUAAACUCCCUUUGCAUUCAGAUUGAAUGACUAAAGUUAACUGUUGCUGAAUGGUGAAUUAAAAGAUGAUUAUUUAGUGUUAACAGCUCUCAGUAAUCACGAUUACGGGGAUUAACUGCUUGUAUGUAUCUAAAACUCAA
Molecule: long non-coding RNA, 3050 nt
Organism: Gasterosteus aculeatus aculeatus (three-spined stickleback)
Lineage: Eukaryota; Metazoa; Chordata; Actinopteri; Perciformes; Gasterosteidae
Source: Ensembl